GGACGAACGCUGGCGGCGUAGCCUAAUACAUGCAAGUCGAACGGUCUUUCUAUGGAAGCUUGCUUCCACUGAGAAGAUAGUGGCGAACGGGUGAGUAACACGUGGGUAACCUGCCCAUAAGAGGGGGGAUAACAUCCGGAAACGGGUGCUAAUACCGCAUAGUUUUCUUGAUCGCAUGAUUGAGAAAGGAAAGACGGCCUUUGUGCUGUCGCUUAUGGAUGGACCCGCGGCGUAUUAGUUAGUUGGUGAGGUAACGGCUCACCAAGACGAUGAUACGUAGCCGACCUGAGAGGGUGAUCGGCCACAUUGGGACUGAGACACGGCCCAAACUCCUACGGGAGGCAGCAGUAGGGAAUCUUCCGCAAUGGACGAAAGUCUGACGGAGCAACGCCGCGUGAGUGAAGAAAAGGGUUUUCGGAUCGUAAAACUCUGUUGUCAGAGAAGAACAAGUUGGAGAGUAACUGCUCCAGCCUUGACGGUAUCUGACCAGAAAGCCACGGCUAACUACGUGCCAGCCGCUGC
Molecule: ribosomal RNA, 522 nt
Filed under: uncultured bacterium
Lineage: Bacteria
Description: bacterial SSU rRNA
Rfam family: Bacterial small subunit ribosomal RNA
Source: RNAcentral